RNAcentral lists this ribosomal RNA (253 nucleotides) under uncultured prokaryote. RNAcentral's name for it is "partial 16S ribosomal RNA". It matches the Rfam family "Bacterial small subunit ribosomal RNA", at positions 525 to 777 of the family's 1533-position model. The record is from RNAcentral.
ACGAGGGGGGCAAGCGUUGUUCGGAAUUAUUGGGCGUAAAGGGCGCGUAGGCGGUGCGGUAAGUCUAAUGUGAAAUCUCCGGGCUCAACUCGGAGUCUGCAUCAGAAACUGCCGUGCUCGAGUGUGGGAGAGGUGAGUGGAAUUCCCGGUGUAGCGGUGAAAUGCGUUGAGAUCGGAAGGAACGCCCGUGGCGAAAGCGAGGUCCUGGACGCCUACUGACGCUGAGACGCGAAAGCCAGGGGAGCGAACGGGA